Molecule: ribosomal RNA, 722 nt
Filed under: Enterobacter sp.
Lineage: Bacteria; Pseudomonadati; Pseudomonadota; Gammaproteobacteria; Enterobacterales; Enterobacteriaceae
Description: bacterial SSU rRNA
Rfam family: Bacterial small subunit ribosomal RNA
Source: RNAcentral
ACGCUGGCGGCAGGCCUAACACAUGCAAGUCGAGCGGUAGCACAGGGAGCUUGCUCCUGGGUGACGAGCGGCGGACGGGUGAGUAAUGUCUGGGAAACUGCCUGAUGGAGGGGGAUAACUACUGGAAACGGUAGCUAAUACCGCAUAACGUCGCAAGACCAAAGAGGGGGACCUUCGGGCCUCUUGCCAUCAGAUGUGCCCAGAUGGGAUUAGCUAGUAGGUGGGGUAACGGCUCACCUAGGCGACGAUCCCUAGCUGGUCUGAGAGGAUGACCAGCCACACUGGAACUGAGACACGGUCCAGACUCCUACGGGAGGCAGCAGUGGGGAAUAUUGCACAAUGGGCGCAAGCCUGAUGCAGCCAUGCCGCGUGUAUGAAGAAGGCCUUCGGGUUGUAAAGUACUUUCAGCGGGGAGGAAGGCGAUAAGGUUAAUAACCUUGUCGAUUGACGUUACCCGCAGAAGAAGCACCGGCUAACUCCGUGCCAGCAGCCGCGGUAAUACGGAGGGUGCAAGCGUUAAUCGGAAUUACUGGGCGUAAAGCGCACGCAGGCGGUCUGUCAAGUCGGAUGUGAAAUCCCCGGGCUCAACCUGGGAACUGCAUUCGAAACUGGCAGGCUAGAGUCUUGUAGAGGGGGGUAGAAUUCCAGGUGUAGCGGUGAAAUGCGUAGAGAUCUGGAGGAAUACCCGGUGGCGAAGGCGGCCCCCUGGACAAAGACUGACG